AAGUUAAUUUAAUAAAACUUUCAACAACGGAUCUCUUGGUUCUGGCAUCGAUGAAGAACGCAGCGAAAUGCGAUAAGUAAUGUGAAUUGCAGAAUUCAGUGAAUCAUCGAAUCUUUGAACGCACAUUGCGCCCCCUGGUAUUCCGGGGGGCAUGCCUG
Molecule: ribosomal RNA, 158 nt
Filed under: Ramularia vizellae
Lineage: Eukaryota; Fungi; Ascomycota; Dothideomycetes; Mycosphaerellales; Mycosphaerellaceae
Description: 5.8S ribosomal RNA
Rfam family: 5.8S ribosomal RNA
About the family: 5.8S ribosomal RNA (5.8S rRNA) is a component of the large subunit of the eukaryotic ribosome. It is transcribed by RNA polymerase I as part of the 45S precursor that also contains 18S and 28S rRNA.
Source: RNAcentral